AUGCAGUUGACGGGUCUCAAAUAGGACGAAACACGUGUCAUGGAU
Non-coding RNA from Schistosoma haematobium, 45 nucleotides. NCBI's taxonomy places the organism in Eukaryota, Metazoa, Platyhelminthes, Trematoda, Strigeidida, Schistosomatidae. The record is from Rfam.